AGCUUCGGCCAAGUGUGGUGGCAGCCGACGCGGCAAAAGCAGCUGCAGUGGCGAGC
RNAcentral lists this ribosomal RNA (56 nucleotides) under Symbiodinium sp. CCMP2430. RNAcentral's name for it is "partial Archaeal small subunit ribosomal RNA". The record is from RNAcentral. Lineage: Eukaryota; Dinophyceae; Suessiales; Symbiodiniaceae.